Molecule: ribosomal RNA, 253 nt
Filed under: uncultured bacterium
Lineage: Bacteria
Description: partial 16S ribosomal RNA
Rfam family: Bacterial small subunit ribosomal RNA
Source: RNAcentral
GACAGAGGGGGCAAGCGUUGCUCGGAAUUACUGGGCGUAAAGGGCGCGUAGGCGGGAUGGCAAGUCGGUCGUGAAAUCCUUCGGCUCAACCGAAGAACGUCGAUCGAUACUGCUGUUCUUGAGGGUUGCAGAGGAGACUGGAAUUCCCGGUGUAGCGGUGAAAUGCGUAGAGAUCGGCAGGAACACCCAGGGGGAAACCAGCCGACUGGGCAUCUGCUGACGCUGAGGUGCGAGAGCGUGGGGAGCGAACCGG